AUUGAACGCUGGCGGCAUGCCUUACACAUGCAAGUCGAACGGCAGCGCGGGGCAACCUGGCGGCGAGUGGCGAAACGGGUGAGUAACAUAUCGGAACAUACCCUAGAGUGGGGGAUAACGUAGCGAAAGUUACGCUAAUACCGCAUACGCACUAAGGUGGAAAGUGGGGGAUCUUCGGACCUCAUGCUCAUGGAGUGGCCGAUAUCUGAUUAGCUAGUUGGUGAGGUAAAGGCUCACCAAGGCGACGAUCAGUAGCUGGUUUGAGAGAACGACCAGCCACACUGGAACUGAGACAC
This 296-nucleotide ribosomal RNA is filed under the name uncultured bacterium. RNAcentral's name for it is "partial 16S ribosomal RNA". It matches the Rfam family "Bacterial small subunit ribosomal RNA", at positions 30 to 327 of the family's 1533-position model. The record is from RNAcentral.